This 429-nucleotide ribosomal RNA is filed under the name Acidobacteriota bacterium. RNAcentral describes it as "Acidobacteria bacterium partial 16S ribosomal RNA". It matches the Rfam family "Bacterial small subunit ribosomal RNA", at positions 355 to 776 of the family's 1533-position model. The record is from RNAcentral. Lineage: Bacteria; Pseudomonadati; Acidobacteriota.
UAGGGAAUCUUCGGCAAUGGGGGCAACCCUGACCGAGCAACGCCGCGGGAGUGAAGAAGGUUUUCGGAUCGUAAAGCUCUGUUGUAAGUCAAGAACGGGUGUGAGAGUGGAAAGUUCACACUGUGACGGUAGCUUACCAGAAAGGGACGGCUAACUACGUGCCAGCAGCCGCGGUAAUACGUAGGUCCCGAGCGUUGUCCGGAUUUAUUGGGCGUAAAGCGAGCGCAGGCGGUUUGAUAAGUCUGAAGUUAAAGGCUGUGGCUCAACCAUAGUUCGCUUUGGAAACUGUCAAACUUGAGUGCAGAAGGGGAGAGUGGAAUUCCAUGUGUAGCGGUGAAAUGCGUAGAUAUAUGGAGGAACACCGGUGGCGAAAGCGGCUCUCUGGUCUGUAACUGACGCUGAGGCUCGAAAGCGUGGGGAGCGAACAGG